GCCCUCAUAGCGCAGCGGCGGGCUGAAGAGCUCCUUGAGCGCGGCCAGAGCGGACGCCGAGGCCGAGGACGCGCCCAGAGCCAGCAAGGGAUGCUACCACGCUGUCACCUCUCACCGUGAGCCACAACUGCUGGUCCUGCGUUCACGGCUUUCCUUUGUCUUUCAGGUGGAGACGCGCUGACCUGCCCCAAUACCUAUUGUUGUUUGUUAAAUUACUCCAAGAUACUUAUAGUUAACGGCAAACACCCAUUUAUAACCACAAAUCAUGUCAGAUGUUCAGGACCAGCACAAUCAAUCAAGUAAACAGCACCCUCCUUGAGUAUGUGGCAGGUGUGUGAGGAUUUCAUGAACCUGUCCUGCAUUUCCAAAUCCAUCCUGAGGCCUCUCCCUGGACACAGGUCUGUGGAUCAGCCUGUACUCGGGCAGUUUUACCUUCUAUGUCUGUUUGUCACGGUCCUCUUGUCCUAGUGCUCAUCACUGCACGUUCCCAGCUCCAGCAAGUGGCCACUCUUUUCCCUCCACAACCAAAGGCCCGACGGCCCAGCCCCCCGGUGGCAGGUGGCCCUUCCAUGGCUGAGGUCACACACCCAGCAUCGCAUCCUGCCCUUCUCGGGGCCUCGGGCCCCUUCGACUCGUCUCCAGGGAUUGCACUUGCUCCUGCUGCCCACGGAGGUUUCCUUCCUGUGAUUCCACUCGGAGGGGGCGCUUUUCUUUGCUGGCUUCAACCAUCACAGAGCUGCUUUGUGUUCGCCGGCAGCUGCCACGCUUCCCUGAAAAGGCGGCUUCUGUUCUGCUGGAGAUGAGCUGAUUUGCCUGGCAGCCAACUUAAACAAGGAGGCAAGAAAACAGCAUAGACUGGGCUCCCAAAUACAUCUACA
This 878-nucleotide long non-coding RNA is filed under the name Homo sapiens (human). RNAcentral's name for it is "non-protein coding lnc-SEMA5A-1:1". The record is from RNAcentral. Lineage: Eukaryota; Metazoa; Chordata; Mammalia; Primates; Hominidae.